UGGGGAAUUUUGGACAAUGGGCGAAAGCCUGAUCCAGCCAUGCCGCGUGCAGGAUGAAGGCCUUCGGGUUGUAAACUGCUUUUGUACGGAACGAAAAGCCUCUUUCUAAUAAAGAGAGGUCAUGACGGUACCGUAAGAAUAAGCACCGGCUAACUACGUGCCAGCAGCCGCGGUAAUACGUAGGGUGCAAGCGUUAAUCGGAAUUACUGGGCGUAAAGCGUGCGCAGGCGGUUUUGUAAGACAGAGGUGAAAUCCCCGGGCUCAACCUGGGAACUGCCUUUGUGACUGCAAGGCUGGAGUGCGGCAGAGGGGGAUGGAAUUCCGCGUGUAGCAGUGAAAUGCGUAGAUAUGCGGAGGAACACCGAUGGCGAAGGCAAUCCCCUGGGCCUGCACUGACGCUCAUGCACGAAAGCGUGGGGAGCAAACAGGAUUAGAUACCCUGGUAGUCCACGCCCUAAACGAUGUCAACUGGUUGUUGGGGUCUUCACUGACUCAGUAACGAAGCUAACGCGUGAAGUUGACCGCCUGGGGAGUACGGCCGCAAGGUUGAAACUCAAAUGAAUUGACGGGGUCAUAGCUGUUUCCU
RNAcentral lists this ribosomal RNA (586 nucleotides) under uncultured bacterium. RNAcentral's name for it is "partial 16S ribosomal RNA". It matches the Rfam family "Bacterial small subunit ribosomal RNA", at positions 355 to 1375 of the family's 1533-position model. The record is from RNAcentral.